AAGUCGUAACAAGGUUUCCGUAGGUGAACCUGCGGAAGGAUCAUUAUCAAAACAGCGGACUUCGGUACUUGCUGCACCCUUGUCUUUUGCGUACCGUAUGUUUCCUCGGCGGGCUUGCCUGCCGGUUGGACAAUAUCAAACCUUUUUGUAGUUGCAAUCAGCGUCAGAAAACAAAUAAUAAUUACAACUUUCAACAACGGAUCUCUUGGUUCUG
This 214-nucleotide unclassified non-coding RNA is filed under the name Pyrenochaetopsis leptospora. Its description in RNAcentral is "partial internal transcribed spacer region". The stretch from base 1 to 46 matches the Rfam family "Eukaryotic small subunit ribosomal RNA", at positions 1786 to 1831 of the family's 1831-position model. The record is from RNAcentral. Lineage: Eukaryota; Fungi; Ascomycota; Dothideomycetes; Pleosporales; Pyrenochaetopsidaceae.